Molecule: long non-coding RNA, 809 nt
Organism: Fukomys damarensis (Damara mole-rat)
Lineage: Eukaryota; Metazoa; Chordata; Mammalia; Rodentia; Bathyergidae
Exons: 3
Source: RefSeq, a predicted model, not a curated record
AAAAUAAAUGCUGCUUCUCUGAAAUAUCAUCAUUAAUGAAGAACUGACAAAUAAUUAUUACGAACUUUCUUCUCUCAGAAAGACACAAGUCCCAUCGGAUUGGGACAUACCCUGAUGACCUCAUGUUGAUUCCAUUACCUCUGUAGAAGCCUAUCUCCAUGUAAAGUCACAUCAUGAGGGGGAAGGUACAGCUGUAACACAGAAAGCACACACAUCAAGUAAUUUACUAGUCAUACAACCAGGAGGAAGAAGAGGAUGAUUCCAGAAUAGCAGCCUGGCCAAGACUUAACUACCACAUCAUGCAGUAAAUUCUGUCCUGCACACCUUCACUCCAGAUUUUGCAGUGGCUUUGCACCUGGCUCAGAGGGGGAGCGAAAGUCCUCAGCACAGAGACAAGUCUGUAGAGGAUGUCAGCUUAUGUGGCUUCAUCUCCUAUUACUUCCCCCUCACCUCCUCUGCUCCAGCCCAACUACAGCUCUUGAACAUGCAAGAAAUCUCAGCCGCAGGACUUUGCCUUUGCUGUUCCCGCUGCCUGUAACGCUUCUACAGUUUCCAUACAGCCUGUUCCAGCUAUUAGCUCAAAAAACACUCACUUCUCCACCUGGCCACUUCUGUACACCUUACAGAAUUUCCUUUUCUCCCUGUCACUCAUUGCUGUCUGCCUCAAGUAUCCUUAUUGUUGUCUGCAUGCAAGUCGCUCUUCUUCUUCCAUCCUCAUCAGAAGCUUCGUGAGGUCUAUGAACUAUACAAGCAUAACACAUGGCUCAUGAGCUUCAUGAGUGUUUGAACAUUAUUAACUGCUUAGCACA